UGAGGAAUAUUGGUCAAUGGGCGCAAGCCUGAACCAGCCAUGCCGCGUGCAGGAAGACGGUCCUAUGGAUUGUAAACUGCUUUUAUACAGGAAGAAACCCUCCCACGUGUGGGAGAUUGACGGUACUGUAGGAAUAAGGAUCGGCUAACUCCGUGCCAGCAGCCGCGGUAAUACGGAGGAUCCAAGCGUUAUCCGGAAUCAUUGGGUUUAAAGGGUCCGUAGGCGGUCUUAUAAGUCAGUGGUGAAAGCCCAUCGCUCAACGAUGGAACUGCCAUUGAUACUGUAAGACUUGAAUGCUUAGGAAGUAACUAGAAUAUGUAGUGUAGCGGUGAAAUGCUUAGAUAUUACAUGGAAUACCAAUUGCGAAGGCAGGUUACUACUAAGUGAUUGACGCUGAUGGACGAAAGCGUGGGGAGCGAACA
This 422-nucleotide ribosomal RNA is filed under the name uncultured Flavobacterium sp. RNAcentral describes it as "bacterial SSU rRNA". It matches the Rfam family "Bacterial small subunit ribosomal RNA", at positions 355 to 774 of the family's 1533-position model. The record is from RNAcentral. Lineage: Bacteria; Pseudomonadati; Bacteroidota; Flavobacteriia; Flavobacteriales; Flavobacteriaceae.